Phalacrocorax carbo (great cormorant) is the source of this 86-nucleotide non-coding RNA. Lineage: Eukaryota; Metazoa; Chordata; Aves; Suliformes; Phalacrocoracidae. The record is from Rfam.
AUACUCUGGCUUCUCUUCAGAUCAUAUAAAUCUUUCACCUUUUACUAAAGAUUUCUGUGGAGAGGACCACUAAUUUUAGUACCUGA